AGAUCCCUCUUCUAGAGUUUUGCAGUGGCCCCAGGAUAUGGGGGUACUCAUCCUUUCAUGUGUUUGUUUUUCCAAAACUGAAAUCUCUGAGUUAUAAGUCCUCUCUCAACUUACAACACCUGGACUGGAAGCUACAGUAGGCGCUUAGUCCCACUCUUCCAGAUGUUGUGAACUGUGAAAAGCAGCUGACAGACUGAACCCCUUAAAAAGUCUUAGCCAUUGAUUUUACGCCAAAGGUAUUCUGUAACAAGGGGAACACUGGACUAGAAAUACCAAAAGAAUAAUAAGAACAGCCCUGACUCAGGUCAGCACGCACUAAUUAUCUGAGCCAAGAGACUGUCAGACAUAGGCUGCCCAAGCAUGGACAACAAAAACAGAAAUAAGGACAUGUAGAAUCAUCUGAGUUGGAAGGGACCUUUAAAGGUCAUCUAGCCAGUCUCCCCUGCAAUAAACAGAGAUACAUACUGCUAGAUCAAGUAGGAUCUCCUGUCGCUCUUGUCAAUAUGCUGAACGGUGUUCAGAAGAAUUCAGCUCCAGCCUAAUCAAAUAUGAACCUAAUUCCAUCUGUAAUAGCCCAAGGCCAUUAUAAGCCAAGAAUCAACAAGUGGAACAGGCUGCAACUGAAUGAAAUCAAACAUACAGCGAGUGGCAUGCAAAGAAUUAAAUAAUUUGCAUUUGAAUUAACGUGUACCUCCUGCCUUCUAAAUGCCGCCUUUGCUCCAAAAUCAGUUUGCUGUAGGAGUAUCUGCAAACCUGGAAUGAGAAGAGGCUAUAAAUAUUGAUGAGUGAGGAUAUAGGCAGUCAACAUUGAGGAACAAUGCUUCUCCUUCUCAAAGCAAGUGUAAGAGCCUCAGAACUACACAUCAGACAAAUUCAACUCAUGGGCUGGGAAGUCUCACCAAAUGGUUCUCAUGACCUCGGCUCACAAAUCCACCCCUGCCCUCUUGGCAGCUCUUGCUCCCAUUACAGAUUGUUCAGCCAUGCACAACGCAGCAGUAAGUUGCAUCAGAGAGCUGCACCAGCUGAGGAACAGAUACACAAGGUGAGCUGGCACCAAUUCAUGUUUCCUUGAUUCAGUAAGAUGCAGCUAAUGGUAAAACUUCUGUAAUUCCGAAGUUUGUAUUUUUACAAACAAAACCCAGCCCUGAGGCCAGCACGUAGACCUAGGUCAAUCUACUCACUGCAGACAGGUAGACUGAAUGCUGAAGCACUUCUUUAAAAGAUGCACUUUGACCUUUCACAGAAAUCUGCCUUUAGAUUUACACAGCAGGACCCAACCUACCAAGGAUGAAGUCCUACUAAACCUCUCAUGGUACCAGAAGAAGGUGCAUUUUAUUUGAAUGUAGAAUAGACAGGACAUGCUUCACUUUACUGUUUACACUUAGUUCUAACAUCUUUGCUCAUUCAUCUUGUUAUUAGUGGCAAUAUACGUAAGGAAAUACAUAAACACAGUAAACAACUUUGUGCAUGAAUUGUAUUUACAAAUUCUCUUUUACAUCCAGUCAUGAAGAUGAAUCACUGCUAUAGGAAAUUCAGCAUCAGCCCUGUGUUCAUUGGAUAUGUUCAGUGGUAGCAACUGUAAACGUGAAUGCUUGAGUGUACUGUGGGAUAUACCUAAUGGAUCACAACUGUGGAGCAGGUACUUUAAAGCUGGAAGGAACCUUUGAUAACAGUACAUUUCUGCAAAUCAAUGGAUUUAUUCCAAGACAUGUAAUAAACUAAAAGCUACUUUAACAGAAUGGUUUGCAGUUCCCAGUCAACCCCCAGGGGACCAUUUGCCCACUCUACUUUGCAUUACAUCUGCUUCCAGUUUCAGAGGGGUCAAAGACCAAGUGUAGAACAUACAAAGCAGAAGGAACAACGUGCUAAUAGCACCAAGACCUACAGCAGCAAGGCAGAGAAAGAACAGCCCCCAUCCCAUUAGCACAUUCUAUUUCCAUUUUAUUCCAAAACUCUCAUUCAGAUAUCCCUUAUGAAGAUGGGUAAUCAAUACAGGAAAUACACUUCUGUUACAGCUGAAUGUUCACUGAAUAGACUCCAUUGCAUCCUGCUCAGGAGCAGCUGUAAGCAUGCAUGCUUUGGGUGCAACAUAUUUAACAAGUAUUGUACACAAGGGUCUUCUACUACCACUGACAGUACUUACCAUUUUUAAGGGCAGUUUUUCAAA
This is a long non-coding RNA of Lagopus leucura (white-tailed ptarmigan), 2167 nucleotides long. RefSeq lists it as uncharacterized. The record is from RefSeq and is a predicted model, not a curated record. NCBI's taxonomy places the organism in Eukaryota, Metazoa, Chordata, Aves, Galliformes, Phasianidae. The transcript has 2 exons.